Molecule: long non-coding RNA, 205 nt
Organism: Mytilus californianus (California mussel)
Lineage: Eukaryota; Metazoa; Mollusca; Bivalvia; Mytilida; Mytilidae
Exons: 3
Source: RefSeq, a predicted model, not a curated record
CAUUGAAACAGAAUAGCAAGGACUCCUAUGAUGGCCAAAGACAUAAAAAUGUUUCCGCAACAUCAAUUUCUGGUUCACAAACUUUUCCUGAAAGAUUUAAAGAGUUGGAUCAACGGCCUACUAAGAAGAAAGGGUUAGCUAAACAAGUGACUGAAACAAACGUAGGAAGAAUGACAGAAUCCAAUCAACGGCCUACCAAAAAGAG